RNAcentral lists this ribosomal RNA (253 nucleotides) under uncultured bacterium. Its description in RNAcentral is "partial 16S ribosomal RNA". It matches the Rfam family "Bacterial small subunit ribosomal RNA", at positions 524 to 776 of the family's 1533-position model. The record is from RNAcentral.
UACGUAGGGUGCUAGCGUUGUUCGGAAUCAUUGGGCGUAAAGCGCGUGCAGGUGGCAAGUUAAGUUGGAUGUGAAAUCCCUAGGCUCAACCAAGGAAGUGCAUUCAAAACUGGCUAGCUUGAAGAUGGUAGAGGAAGGUGGAAUUCCAGGUGGAGAGGUGAAAUUCGUAGAUAUCUGGAGGAAUAUCGGAGGCGAAGGCGACCUUCUGGGCCAUUCUUGACACUGAGACGCGAAAGCGUGGGUAGCAAACAGG